Molecule: ribosomal RNA, 274 nt
Filed under: uncultured bacterium
Lineage: Bacteria
Description: partial 16S ribosomal RNA
Rfam family: Bacterial small subunit ribosomal RNA
Source: RNAcentral
AUACAGAGGGUGCGAGCGUUAAUCGAAAUUACUGGGCGUAAAGCGCGCGUAGGCGGCUACUUAAGUCAGAUGUGAAAUCCCCGGGCUCAACCUGGGAACUGCAUCUGAUACUGGGUAGCUAGAGUUUUGGAGAGGGAAGUAGAAUUUCAGGUGUAGCGGUGAAAUGCAUAGAGAUCUGAAGGAAUACCAGUGGCGAAGGCGACUUCCUGGCCAAAAACUGACGCUGAGGUGCGAAAGCGUGGGUAGCAAACGGGAUUAGAAACCCCAGUAGUCC